UACAAUAUGGUGUAUGAGCACAUGAAUUUUUGGGGUUUAGGGUAUAGGUUCAUUACCUUUUUUUGUAA
RNAcentral lists this transfer RNA (68 nucleotides) under Galiteuthis armata. RNAcentral's name for it is "tRNA-Gln". The record is from RNAcentral. Lineage: Eukaryota; Metazoa; Mollusca; Cephalopoda; Oegopsida; Cranchiidae.